GUUACUAGGGUGUGGUGUAGCAUAUUAGGUUUUCGUCCUAAUGGUGUAGGGGGUCUCCUACUUGUAAUU
RNAcentral lists this transfer RNA (69 nucleotides) under Cellana nigrlineata. Its description in RNAcentral is "tRNA-Glu". Lineage: Eukaryota; Metazoa; Mollusca; Gastropoda; Nacellidae. The record is from RNAcentral.